RNAcentral lists this transfer RNA (76 nucleotides) under Lentisphaeria bacterium. Its description in RNAcentral is "tRNA-Leu". It matches the Rfam family "tRNA". Rfam says of the family: Transfer RNA (tRNA) molecules are approximately 80 nucleotides in length. Their secondary structure includes four short double-helical elements and three loops (D, anti-codon, and T loops). Further hydrogen bonds mediate the characteristic L-shaped molecular structure. tRNAs have two regions of fundamental functional importance: the anti-codon, which is responsible for specific mRNA codon recognition, and the 3' end, to which the tRNAs corresponding amino acid is attached (by aminoacyl-tRNA synthetases). tRNAs cope with the degeneracy of the genetic code in two manners: having more than one tRNA (with a specific anti-codon) for a particular amino acid; and 'wobble' base-pairing, i.e. permitting non-standard base-pairing at the 3rd anti-codon position. Lineage: Bacteria; Pseudomonadati; Lentisphaerota; Lentisphaeria. The record is from RNAcentral. RNAcentral also lists the same sequence under 1 other name.
GGAUCUAUAGCCCAACGGAAGAGGCAGCAGACUUAAAAUCUGUUCAGUCCCGGUUCGAAUCCGGGUGGGUCCACCA